UCUCAAAGAUUAAGCCAUGCAUGUCUCAGUGCAAGCCGCAUUGAAGGUGAAACCGCGAAUGGCUCAUUAAAUCAGUCAUGGUUCCUUAGAUGUUGAACGGUUACUUGGAUAACUGUGGUAAUUCUAGAGCUAAUACAUGAAACUCAGCCCCGACCCCUCGAGGGAGGGGCGCUCUUAUUAGAUCAAGACCAAUCGGCGCUUCGCGUCGUCUACCUGGUGACUCUGAAUAAGACUCCGAUCGCACGGUCUCGUACCGGCGACGCAUCUUUCAAAUGUCUGCCUUAUCAACUGUCGAUGGUAGGUUCUUCGCCUACCAUGGUCUUAACGGGUAACGGAGAAUCAGGGUUCGAUUCCGGAGAGGGAGCCUGAGAAACGGCUACCACAUCCAAGGAAGGCAGCAGGCGCGCAAAUUACCCACUCCCGGCACGGGGAGGUAGUGACGAAAAAUAACGAUACGGGACUCAUCCGAGGCCCCGUGAUCGGAAUGAGCACACUUUAGAUCCUUGGACGAGGAUCAAUUGGAGGGCAAGUCUGGUGCCAGCAGCCGCGGUAAUUCCAGCUCCAAUAGCGUAUAUUAAAGUUGUUGCGGUUAAAAAGCUCGUAGUCGGACCUGUGUCUCACGCUGCCGGUUCACCGCUCGUCGGUGUCAAACUGGCACGCCUGUGCAGACGUCCUGCCGGUGGUCCGAGCCGUGGGGGCCUUCAAAAGCUGCCGCGGGGAGGACCUACGUUAACCCGUCGCGGUGCUCUUAACCGAGUGUCUCGUCGGGCCGGCACGUUUACUUUGAACAAAUUAGAGUGCUCAAAGCAGGCAUCUACCGCCUGAAUAUCGGUGCAUGGAAUAAUGGAAUAGGACCUCGGUUCUAUUUUGUUGGUCUUCGGAAUACCCGAGGUAAUGAUCAAUAGGGACAGACGGGGGCAUUCGUACUGCGACGUUAGAGGUGAAAUUCUUGGAUCGUCGCAAGACGGACAGAAGCGAAAGCAUUUGCCAAGAAUGUUUUCUCUGAUCAAGAACGAAAGUUAGAGGUGCGAAGGCGAUCAGAUACCGCCCUAGUUCUAACCAUAAACGAUGCCAUCGAGCAAUCCGCCGCAGUUCCUCCGAUGACUCGGCGGGCGGCUUACGGGAAACCAAAGAUUUUGGGUUCCGGGGGAAGUAUGGUUGCAAAGCUGAAACUUAAAGGAAUUGACGGAAGGGCACCACCAGGAAUGGAGCUUGCGGCUUAAUUUGACUCAACACGGGGCAACUUAUCAGGUCCGGACACUGGGAGGAUUGACAGAUUGAGAGCUCUUUCUUGAUUCAGUGGGUGGUGGUGCAUGUCCGUUCUUCGUUGGUGGAGCAAUCUGUCUGCUUAAUUGCGAUAACGAACGAGAUUCUAGCCUGCUAACUAGUCGCUUCCGGUAUCCUUCGUGCUACCGGCGACAUGAAAUCUUCUUAGAGGGACAGGCGGUUUUCAACCGCACGAAACUGAGCAAUAACAGGUCUGUGAUGCCCUUAGAUGUCCUGGGCCGCACGCGUGCUACAAUGAAGGGAUCAGCGUGUCCUCCCAGCCCGAGCGGGCCGGGUAACCCGCUGAAACCCCUUCGUGAUAGGGAUUGGGGCUUGUAACUAUUCCCCAUGAACGAGGAAUUCCUAGUAAGCGCGAGUCAUCAACUCGUGCUGAUUAUGUCCCUGCCCUUUGUACACACCGCCCGUCGCUACUACCGAUUGAAUGAUUUAGUGAGGUCUUCGGACCGUCGGGCGCGGGGGUUCGCACCCCGGCGAUUUCGACGGGAAGAUGCCCGAACUUGAUCAUUUAGAGGAAGUAAAAGUCGUAACAAGGUUUCC
This 1824-nucleotide ribosomal RNA is filed under the name Latindia sp. FL-2015. RNAcentral's name for it is "SSU rRNA". It matches the Rfam family "Eukaryotic small subunit ribosomal RNA". The record is from RNAcentral. Lineage: Eukaryota; Metazoa; Arthropoda; Insecta; Blattodea; Corydiidae.